CGCUAUCACUCCUACGGGAGGCAGCAGUGGGGAAUAUUGCACAAUGGGCGCAAGCCUGAUGCAGCCAUGCCGCGUGAGUGAUGAAGGCCCUAGGGUCGUAAAGCUCUUUCGCCAGAGAUGAUAAUGACAGUAUCUGGUAAAGAAACCCCGGCUAACUCCGUGCCAGCAGCCGCGGUAAUACGGAGGGGUUAGCGUUGUUCGGAAUUACUGGGCGUAAAGCGUACGUAGGCGGAUUAGUUAGUCAGAGGUGAAAUCCCCAGGGCUCAACCCCUGGAACUGCCUUUGAUACUGCUAGUCUUGAGUUCGAGAGAGGUGAGUGGAAUUCCGAGUGUAGAGGUGAAAUUCGUAGAUAUUCGGAGGAACACCAGUGGCGAAGGCGGCUCACUGGCUCGAUACUGACGCUGAGGUACGAAAGUGUGGGGAGCAAACAGGAUUAGAUACCCUGGUAG
RNAcentral lists this ribosomal RNA (449 nucleotides) under uncultured bacterium. Its description in RNAcentral is "bacterial SSU rRNA". It matches the Rfam family "Bacterial small subunit ribosomal RNA", at positions 328 to 793 of the family's 1533-position model. The record is from RNAcentral.